UGGCGGACGGGUGAGUAACGCCUGAGAAUCGGCCCUCAGGUUGGGGACAACCAUUGGAAACGAUGGCUAAUACCGAAUAAGCCGAGAGGUGAAAGAUUAAUUGCCUGGGGAAGAGCUCGCGUCUGAUUAGCUAGUUGGUGGGGUAAAGGCCUACCAAGGCACCGAUCAGUAACUGGUCUGAGAGGAUGACCAGUCACACUGGGACUGAGACACGGCCCAGACUCCUACGGGAGGCAGCAGUGGGGAAUUUUCCGCAAUGGGCGCGAGCCUGACGGAGCAAUACCGCGUGGGGGAGGAAGGCUCUUGGGUCGUAAACCUCUUUUCUCAGGGAAGAACACAAUGACGGUACCUGAGGAAUCAGCAUCGGCUAACUCCGUGCCAGCAGCCGCGGUAAUACGGAGGAUGCAAGCGUUAUCCGGAAUGAUUGGGCGUAAAGCGUCCGCAGGUGGCCGUGUAAGUCUGCUGUCAAAGGUCAGGGCUUAACCCUGAACAGGCAGUGGAAACUACACAGCUAGAGUGCGGUGGGGGCAGAGGGAAUUCCCAGUGUAGCGGUGAAAUGCGUAGAGAUUGGGAAGAACACCGGUGGCGAAAGCGCUCUGCUAGGCCGCAACUGACACUCAUGGACGAAAGCUAGGGGAGCGAAUGGGAUUAGAUACCCCAGUAGUCCUAGCCGUAAACGAUGGAUACUAGGCGUAGCUCGUAUCGACCCGAGCUGUGCCGUAGCUAACGCGUUAAGUAUCCCGCCUGGGG
Molecule: ribosomal RNA, 750 nt
Filed under: uncultured cyanobacterium
Lineage: Bacteria; Bacillati; Cyanobacteriota
Description: bacterial SSU rRNA
Rfam family: Bacterial small subunit ribosomal RNA
Source: RNAcentral